UAUUUCCCACCUUUUAUCAGCCAUUUAUUUAAUCAAGUGCACCUGUCAAGUAGACAUGAAAAAUGAAAGAGCCAAUGAAUCACGGCUCUCCUCAGCAAAAACACUGCGGACGGGCACUGCUACGGACUCAUUCUCCACCAUCUCUAACUUCAACCUCAAGGUCACGCCAAUAAUCAUUCAAUUAUGUGGUCUAAAGAACAGGCAGAUGCUUCCUCUAUUCGUGGCAACAAAAAAGCUACAACCUCAAUCAUCUGUCAACUCCCUGAAAGACUUUUGUUUACUUUCCUCGCUGAAAAUCCUUGACACGGUGGACAGGUGAAGACACAGAUGAACUGCUGGAUGCCACUAAACAUUUAUGAACAGGUUUAACGUGCAUUACACUGUUUUAUUCAAAAGCCAUAAUGGAGAUUAAAUAUUUAAGGG
Molecule: long non-coding RNA, 423 nt
Organism: Ictalurus punctatus (channel catfish)
Lineage: Eukaryota; Metazoa; Chordata; Actinopteri; Siluriformes; Ictaluridae
Source: Ensembl